UGGGGAAUAUUGCACAAUGGGCGCAAGCCUGAUGCAGCCAUGCCGCGUGUGUGAAGAAGGCCUUCGGGUUGUAAAGCACUUUCAGCGGGGAGGAAGGCGGUGAGGUUAAUAACCUCAUCGAUUGACGUUACCCGCAGAAGAAGCACCGGCUAACUCCGUGCCAGCAACCGCGGUAAUACGGAGGGUGCAAGCGUUAAUCGGAAUUACUGGGCGUAAAGCGCACGCAGGCGGUCUGUCAAGUCGGAUGUGAAAUCCCCGGGCUCAACCUGGGAACUGCAUUCGAAACUGGCAGGCUAGAGUCUUGUAGAGGGGGGUAGAAUUCCAGGUGUAGCGGUGAAAUGCGUAGAGAUCUGGAGGAAUACCGGUGGCGAAGGCGGCCCCCUGGACAAAGACUGACGCUCAGGUGCGAAAGCGUGGGGAGCAAACAGG
This 429-nucleotide ribosomal RNA is filed under the name Chloroflexota bacterium. RNAcentral describes it as "Chloroflexi bacterium partial 16S ribosomal RNA". It matches the Rfam family "Bacterial small subunit ribosomal RNA", at positions 355 to 776 of the family's 1533-position model. Lineage: Bacteria; Bacillati; Chloroflexota. The record is from RNAcentral.